CUUCAAGAUAAGAUUUCCCACCGCAAGGGUAAGACCCCAGAAAGACUAUCUGGUUGAUAGGUCGAAUGUGUAAGUGCAGCAAUGUAUUUAGCUUAUCGAUACUAAUAGGUCGAGGACUUGACCAAUAUU
Molecule: ribosomal RNA, 129 nt
Filed under: Clostridioides difficile
Lineage: Bacteria; Bacillati; Bacillota; Clostridia; Peptostreptococcales; Peptostreptococcaceae
Description: partial 23S ribosomal RNA
Rfam family: Bacterial large subunit ribosomal RNA
Source: RNAcentral